CCCUUAGAUGUCCUGGGCCGCACGCGUGCUACACUGAUGCAUACAGCGAGUACUCCCAGCUCCGAGAGGCUGCUGGUAAUCAGCAAUAUGCAUCGUGAUGGGGAUAGAUCUUUGGAAUUAUAGAUCUUGAACGAGGAAUUCCUGGUAAUCGCAGGUCAUCACCCUGCGUUGACUAAGUCCCUGCCCUUUGUACACACCGCCCGUCGCUCCUACCGAUUUCGAGUGAUCCGGUGAAUCAUUCGGACCGCGGCCCCUAGGCAUGCGGAAAGUCUAGUAAACCAUAUCACUUAGAGGAAGGAGAAGUCGUAACA
RNAcentral lists this ribosomal RNA (311 nucleotides) under uncultured eukaryote. RNAcentral describes it as "partial 18S ribosomal RNA". It matches the Rfam family "Eukaryotic small subunit ribosomal RNA", at positions 1470 to 1796 of the family's 1831-position model. The record is from RNAcentral.